AAUCAACGCUGGCGGCGUGCCUCAGACAUGCAAGUCGAACGAUUAAAGCUCUCUUCGGAGAGUGCAUAAAGUGGCGCACGGGUGAGUAACACGUAAGUAAUCUACCUUCGAGUGGGGGAUAACGUCCAGAAACGGACGCUAAUACCGCAUAAUGCAGCGGCACCUAAUGGUGACAGUUGUUAAAGAAUUUAUUCGCUUGAAGAGGAGCUUGCGGCAGAUUAGCUAGUUGGUAAGGUAAUGGCUUACCAAGGCUUCGAUCUGUAACCGGUCUAAGAGGACGGUCGGUCACACUGACACUGAAUAACGGGUCAGACUCCUACGGGAGGCAGCAGUCGGGAAUUUUGGGCAAUGGGCGAAAGCCUGACCCAGCAACGCCGCGUGAAGGAUGAAGUAUUUCGGUAUGUAAACUUCGAAAGAAUGGGAAGAAUCAAUGACGGUACCAUUUAUAAGGUCCGGCUAACUACGUGCCAGCCGCCGCCGUAA
This 483-nucleotide ribosomal RNA is filed under the name uncultured bacterium. RNAcentral describes it as "partial 16S ribosomal RNA". It matches the Rfam family "Bacterial small subunit ribosomal RNA", at positions 32 to 523 of the family's 1533-position model. The record is from RNAcentral.